GUGGAGGCGUCAACGACGACAUCCGGACGAGCGCACCGUACCCGGCCAGCGACAAGACGGUGCCUA
Regulatory RNA element from Rhodococcus sp. RD6.2, 66 nucleotides. Lineage: Bacteria; Bacillati; Actinomycetota; Actinomycetes; Mycobacteriales; Nocardiaceae. The record is from Rfam.